UCGGGAAUAUUGCGCAAUGGAGGAAACUCUGACGCAGUGACGCCGCGUGCAGGAAGAAGGUUUUCGGAUUGUAAACUGCUUUAGACAGGGAAGAAACAAGACAGUACCUGUAGAAUAAGCUCCGGCUAACUACGUGCCAGCAGCCGCGGUAAUACGUAGGGAGCAAGCGUUAUCCGGAUUUAUUGGGUGUAAAGGGUGCGUAGACGGGAAUGCAAGUUGGUUGUGAAAUCCCUCGGCUCAACCGAGGAAUUGCAACCAAAACUAUAUUUCUUGAGUGCUGGAGAGGAAAGUGGAAUUCCUAGUGUAGCGGUGAAAUGCGUAGAUAUUAGGAGGAACACCAGUGGCGAAGGCGACUUUCUGGACAGUAACUGACGUUGAGGCACGAAAGUGUGGGGAGCAAACAGAUUAGAUACCC
RNAcentral lists this ribosomal RNA (415 nucleotides) under uncultured bacterium. RNAcentral's name for it is "bacterial SSU rRNA". It matches the Rfam family "Bacterial small subunit ribosomal RNA", at positions 355 to 787 of the family's 1533-position model. The record is from RNAcentral.